This 429-nucleotide ribosomal RNA is filed under the name Acidobacteriota bacterium. RNAcentral's name for it is "Acidobacteria bacterium partial 16S ribosomal RNA". It matches the Rfam family "Bacterial small subunit ribosomal RNA", at positions 355 to 776 of the family's 1533-position model. The record is from RNAcentral. Lineage: Bacteria; Pseudomonadati; Acidobacteriota.
UGGGGAAUUUUGGACAAUGGGGGAAACCCUGAUCCAGCCAUCCCGCGUGUGCGAUGAAGGCCUUCGGGUUGUAAAGCACUUUUGGCAGGAAAGAAACGUCAUGGGUUAAUACCCCGUGAAACUGACGGUACCUGCAGAAUAAGCACCGGCUAACUACGUGCCAGCAGCCGCGUUAAUACGUAGGGUGCAAGCGUUAAUCGGAAUUACUGGGCGUAAAGCGUGCGCAGGCGGUUCGGAAAGAAAGAUGUGAAAUCCCAGAGCUCAACUUUGGAACUGCAUUUUUAACUACCGGUCUAGAGUGUGUCAGAGGGGGGUGGAAUUCCGCGUGUAGCAGUGAAAUGCGUAGAUAUGCGGAGGAACACCGAUGGCGAAGGCAGCCUCAUGGGAUAACACUGACGCUAAUGCUCGAAAGCGUGGGGAGCAAACAGG